RNAcentral lists this ribosomal RNA (207 nucleotides) under uncultured bacterium. Its description in RNAcentral is "partial 16S ribosomal RNA". It matches the Rfam family "Bacterial small subunit ribosomal RNA", at positions 568 to 774 of the family's 1533-position model. The record is from RNAcentral.
CGUGUAGGCGGCUUGGUAAGUCCGUUGUGAAAUCUCACAGCUUAACUGUGAAACUGCGACGGAAACUGCUUUGCUAGAGUGCGGGAGAGGAGAGUGGAAUUCCCAGUGUAGAGGUGAAAUUCGUAGAUACUGGGAGGAACACCGGUGGCGAAGGCGGCUCUCUGGACCGCUACCGACGCUGAGACGCGAAAGCUAGGGGAGCAAACG